UUUCCGUAGGUGAACCUGCGGAAGGAUCAUUAUCACGUAUCCACGUAUAAACCACUGCGAACUGUUUCCCUUUGGAGGUUCUGGGUUUGGCUUGAUCAAUCUUUCCAACGUCGUGAUGGGAAAGCGGUCUAUGCCGUGAGGUUAGUGGGCAACCACUGCUUCCACCUGAAUCUUUGAAGCGGUUAUUCAUCACGUCUACCAUUUAACUAUUAACCCCUUUAAACUUUUUGAACUGAAACUUAAGCGUGAUGUAAAGUCUGCCUUCGGGCUCACUUGAUCAUGUCUUUACUUACGAAACUACGAACAAUUCUUAACAACGGAUAUCUUGGCUCUG
This 334-nucleotide unclassified non-coding RNA is filed under the name soil metagenome. RNAcentral's name for it is "partial contains small subunit ribosomal RNA, internal transcribed spacer 1, and 5.8S ribosomal RNA". The record is from RNAcentral.